UUAAUUGAAGCUAAAAAGAAGCAAUUCAUUGUUAAUGAAUAAAAUGAAAAAAAAAAUUCCAAUUAAA
RNAcentral lists this transfer RNA (67 nucleotides) under Oecleopsis sinicus. RNAcentral describes it as "tRNA-Asn". Lineage: Eukaryota; Metazoa; Arthropoda; Insecta; Hemiptera; Cixiidae. The record is from RNAcentral.